GGUCAGGCCAAAAACUAGACCAUGCCCCUCCCUCUCCAAUCCUUUCUUGUUCCCACACCACCGGAACUGGAAGUGGGUCUGACCGGAAGCAGACCAUCUUGGCCUGCUGGGACUCAAACCACCGAGUCCUCCUGGUCAGCCAGAGGAUCCGUGCUUUAGCUCACCCUGCCCCAUCCUCUGGUGAGGAUGAAGACAGCGACAUCCCCUGCAAUAACAAUAGGCCAGGAGGGAGCUGGAUCAGGGAAGAGGCCCUGUGGGAGAGGGAUCUGGGGUUUGUGCAGGACCUUGACUGCUUCGCAGCACCUGUCAUCAUGGGGGGGGAGCAACGGUGGGAACAGAUUCCCUAUGCAGAAGUAAGGGAGUUGAGGAAAGCCGCCAAAGAUUAUGGUCAAGGUUUUUCAUAUUUUAAAAUCAUUUUAGGUCUCACUUUUGCCAGCCACUCUUUAAUAGCCCAUGAUCUGUGGUACUAACAACUGCAUUGCUGUCUCGCACAGAAUUCCUUCUGUGGGAGAUGAAGUGGAAAAACUGCAAAAGCCUCUCAUUGCAAAACAUAACUUAAGAAAUGCAUUAGGUGAGGAAGCCAGUGAGGCUCUGGCGGGGGAAGGAGAAUUUUGUAUACCAGAAGAUCAGGCGAUCCUACCCCCGAUGUAUUAGAUGAUAUUCGAGCAGCUGCGAAAGCCACACUGUUGAAAAUCCUAGAUGGCACCACCCCCCUACAAAACUUUUUGUCUAUACACCAGGGGACAGAAGAAACAUUUAUCAAAUUUGUCAGUCACCUCAGAGAAGAAAUCAAAAGACAAAUUGAUAAUGUGGAAGCCAGGGAUGAACUUCUGAGAAAAAUGGCGAUGAGAAAUGUCAAUGCUGAGAUAAAGAAGGUUCUUAGGGCAUUGCCUCAAGAACCCGAGCCGCCCAUCCCCCAGAUGGUUGAAGCAUGCACUAAGGCAUCAUCUUUAGAAAAUACUCUUGCACUAGCUGUAAGUAAAGGGGUGGGAGAGGCAAUGAGUAAUGUAAGAUGUUUCAGCUGUGGCCAACUGGGACACUUCCAGGCCAAUUACCCUCACCUAUUAAAUAGACAAUAUAACUCAGCUCUUGUACCUUCUCCAAGACCAUUUAGGAACCAUCACCCACAAUACUGUUCAGGAAACGGGUGGCAGAGCGCAAUGCAGCCCCGCACAACGACAUCAAAUGGCCGGCUGCAUCAUCGAGGCCUCCCAACCAUCCAGGAAAACCAAUUCCCGGAUGGCACAUUUCUGAGGAUGGGAGGCACGAAGAGGGACUCAGGUUCUUCUGGACCACCUGCAACUUAAAUCAAGGAAACCGUUGGGUCCUGUACAGCCAGCUCCAUCUGCUGCUGCCCGAUGAGGACCUCGUAAAGGUUCCUGUGGGAUCCCUGGGCCCUCCCUAUCACGAACGAUCAGCUACAGCGCUCCUCCUCCGAGACAGCCACCACACCCCGGACAAAAUCACCAUCCUCUCCGAGGUGGUAGAAAUUCAACCAGGAAAUGAGAUUACUGUCUCUGUGAUGUGUCUAAAACCUCGGUUCAGUUCAUGUAAAUGGUCUCCUUUCGCACAGCUGUAUAUUCUAGAAAGACAAGAUUAUUUAAAUGCUGAAAACGAUGAUCCCAUUUAUUUCUCCCAGGACCUUACUAGAGAAAGACCCAUCAUACAUUUCUUCAUUUCGCAGAAAGGGAGAUCAAUCAAAUGUAACCUAAUGGCAGACACUGGAGCGGACAUCACCAUCCUUCCCUGAGCAAAGUGGACCCGCGAUUGGGAGUUAGUGCCCCCUUGUGGCACAGUCUCUGGUGUCGGGGGGAGCUGUGAACUGUCUCAGGAGUAAACAUCUGUGCAUACAAUCACCUUGCCUCAGGAUUUGUCCAGCAGUUCUGGAUUUACCCAGGUUUUGGGGAAGCCAGAUGGAGAGCUGCUUAAUAUGGGUGGAGGUCAGUUGACUGCCAAAAGGACUAAGAUUGUAUAAUUUUUCUUCGUGUUUGCUCUACUCUGGCUAUCACAUUUGCACUAAGGCUCCUUUUGCCCUCCUGUUCACCUAUGUGAAUGCACAGGCAGAACAUGAUUUUUUCUUCUGUACACUGAUUUUAACUCCUUGGGCUUCAGAAGAAUUACUCUUGGUUUAUUCUGGUGAGAGCUGGAGAGGCAGCUGAUUUUCUACCCUAGACAGUCAGCAAGUAAGGCAAGAGUGCAUAUUGCUAAGUUUGCUAACACUGCCUAGAAGAGCAUAUUGAAAGAUCCCCUGAAAUGCACAAUAGGAUGCAAAACUAAGAUGGAAUGCUUUGUGCAACUGAAGAGCACUUUGAUGAACUGACUGGCUGCAGAUACUGUGAAUCUCCAAUCUUGUUAUUGGCAGACAUAAAAACAACAGUGUAAACCUUUUGUCUCUUAUUCUCUCCUGAUUAUACUGGAUGUGGUGGCACAGAAUAAACAUGGCAAGGCA
RNA transcript from Passer domesticus (house sparrow), 2449 nucleotides. RefSeq lists it as uncharacterized. The transcript is spliced from 5 exons. The record is from RefSeq and is a predicted model, not a curated record. Lineage: Eukaryota; Metazoa; Chordata; Aves; Passeriformes; Passeridae.